This 553-nucleotide ribosomal RNA is filed under the name uncultured bacterium. RNAcentral describes it as "partial 16S ribosomal RNA". It matches the Rfam family "Bacterial small subunit ribosomal RNA", at positions 355 to 902 of the family's 1533-position model. The record is from RNAcentral.
UGGGGAAUUUUGGACAAUGGGCGAAAGCCUGAUCCAGCAAUGCCGCGUGUGUGAAGAAGGCCUUCGGGUUGUAAAGCACUUUUGUCCGGAAAGAAAUCCUUGGCUCUAAUACAGUCGGGGGAUGACGGUACCGGAAGAAUAAGCACCGGCUAACUACGUGCCAGCAGCCGCGGUAAUACGUAGGGUGCAAGCGUUAAUCGGAAUUACUGGGCGUAAAGCGUGCGCAGGCGGUUUGCUAAGACCGAUGUGAAAUCCCCGGGCUCAACCUGGGAACUGCAUUGGUGACCGGCAGGCUAGAGUAUGGCAGAGGGGGGUAGAAUUCCACGUGUAGCAGUGAAAUGCGUAGAGAUGUGGAGGAAUACCGAUGGCGAAGGCAGCCCCCUGGGCCAAUACUGACGCUCAUGCACGAAAGCGUGGGGAGCAAACAGGAUUAGAUACCCUGGUAGUCCACGCCCUAAACGAUGUCAACUAGUUGUUGGGGAUUCAUUUCCUUAGUAACGUAGCUACGCGUGAAGUUGACCGCCUGGGGAGUACGGUCGCAAGAUUAAAACUU